GACGAACGCUGGCGGCGUGCUUAACACAUGCAAGUCGAACGGAAAGGCCCUGCUUUCGUGGGGUGCUCGAGGGGCGAACGGGUGAGUAACACGUGAGUAACCUGCCCUUGACUUUGGGAUAACUUCAGGAAACUGGGGCAAAUACCGGAUAGGAGAUCCUGCUGCAUGGUGGGGGUUGGAAAGUUUCGGCGGUUGGGGAUGGACUCGCGGCUUGUCAGCUUGUUGGUGGGGUAGGGGCGUACCAAGGCAUGGAGGGGUAGCCGGGCUGGGAGGGUGAGCGGCCCCAUUAGGACUGAGCUGCGGCCCAGACCCGACCGGGAGGCGGCAGUGGAGAGUGGUACACAACGGGCUGAAGCAUGACGCGACACCGCCACGCGCGGGGGAACGGCCUUCGCGUUGUAUUGCGCUUUCGCCUUUGACGAAGAGUUAGUGACGGUAAUGGGUAAAGAAGCACCGGCUAACUACGUG
Molecule: ribosomal RNA, 468 nt
Filed under: uncultured bacterium
Lineage: Bacteria
Description: partial 16S ribosomal RNA
Rfam family: Bacterial small subunit ribosomal RNA
Source: RNAcentral